UCAGCACAAACAUGGUCACUUCAGCUCCACUGCUGCUGCUGGCUCUCACCCCCUAUGUGUUUUGUGCUACUGAGCUCAUUCAGCCAGACUCAGUGGUUAUAAAGCCAGGAGAGACUUUAACCAUCACCUGUAAAGUGUCUGGAGCUUCAAUCACUGAUAGCAGCAGACACUAUGCAACAGCUUGGAUUCGACAACCUGCAGGAAAGGAUUUAGAAUGGAUCAACAUCAUUUAUCAUAAUGGGGCUAUUUAUAACAAGGAUCCCCUUAAAAACAAGUUUGCUGUCUCUCGAGAUACUUCCAGUAACAGCGUGACUUUACGGGGACAGAACAUACAGACUGAAGACACAGCUGUGUAUUACUGCGCUCGUGAAGAGCACACACUGACACAACAAGCUGCGGCGCUGCACAAAAACAUCAUCUUCUUCACAACUCAGUUUUAA
This is a non-coding RNA of Clarias gariepinus (North African catfish), 440 nucleotides long. The record is from the annotation of a RefSeq genome assembly. NCBI's taxonomy places the organism in Eukaryota, Metazoa, Chordata, Actinopteri, Siluriformes, Clariidae.